UCCAGGAAACAAUAUUUAAAUCCAAGUGUAUAGACUGCUCCAGUGUUUAGAGAGAUUGUUUCUCACAGCUUAGAAAAUGAAAGUUCCAGGAAAUCCCAUCAUUCCCGAGGAUUUUGUCAGCAGAAAUUAAGUUGGCGGAGAAAUGUGAUGACUACAUAGUCCAGUUUCCACACUUCCAUUCCUGAGAGCUCUCAGUCAAGUGUCUGCUGUCAAACAGUGACUGCAGCC
Molecule: long non-coding RNA, 228 nt
Filed under: Numida meleagris (helmeted guineafowl)
Lineage: Eukaryota; Metazoa; Chordata; Aves; Galliformes; Numididae
Description: lncRNA (ENSNMEG00000016959.1)
Source: RNAcentral